Molecule: ribosomal RNA, 452 nt
Filed under: uncultured bacterium
Lineage: Bacteria
Description: SSU rRNA
Rfam family: Bacterial small subunit ribosomal RNA
Source: RNAcentral
AGAGCGAACGCUGGCGGCAUGCUUAACACAUGCAAGUCGCACGGGCAGGGGCAACCCUGUCAGUGGCGGACGGGUGAGUAACGCGUAGGUAUCUAUCCUUGGGUGGGGGACAACCGUGGGAAACUACGGCUAAUACCGCAUGAUGACUGAGGUCCAAAGCCCGCGAGGGUGCCUGGGGAGGAGCCUGCGUACGAUUAGCUAGUUGGUGGGGUAAAGGCCUACCAAGGCUGUGAUCGUUAGCUGGUCUGAGAGGAUGAUCAGCCACAUUGGGACUGAGACACGGCCCAAACUCCUACGGGAGGCAGCAGUGGGGAAUAUUGGACAAUGGGCGCAAGCCUGAUCCAGCAAUGCCGCGUGUGUGAAGAAGGUCUUCGGAUUGUAAAGCACUUUCGACGGGACGAUGAUGACGGUACCGUAGAAGAAGCCCCGGCUAACUUCGCGCCAGCAGCCGC